CACUAGAAAGCUAAACCGGGUGUAGCGUUAGCCUUUUAAGCUAAAGACUGGUGGCCCCCAACCACCUCUAGUGA
This 74-nucleotide transfer RNA is filed under the name Denticeps clupeoides (denticle herring). It matches the Rfam family "tRNA". From Rfam's summary of the family: Transfer RNA (tRNA) molecules are approximately 80 nucleotides in length. Their secondary structure includes four short double-helical elements and three loops (D, anti-codon, and T loops). Further hydrogen bonds mediate the characteristic L-shaped molecular structure. tRNAs have two regions of fundamental functional importance: the anti-codon, which is responsible for specific mRNA codon recognition, and the 3' end, to which the tRNAs corresponding amino acid is attached (by aminoacyl-tRNA synthetases). tRNAs cope with the degeneracy of the genetic code in two manners: having more than one tRNA (with a specific anti-codon) for a particular amino acid; and 'wobble' base-pairing, i.e. permitting non-standard base-pairing at the 3rd anti-codon position. Lineage: Eukaryota; Metazoa; Chordata; Actinopteri; Clupeiformes; Denticipitidae. The record is from Rfam by way of RNAcentral.